GACGAACGCUGGCGGCGUGCUUAACACAUGCAAGUCGAACGGAAAGGCCCUGCUUUUGUGGGGUGCUCGAGUGGCGAACGGGUGAGUAACACGUGAGUAACCUGCCCUUGACUUUGGGAUAACUUCAGGAAACUGGGGCUAAUACCGGAUAGGAGCUCCUGCUGCAUGGUGGGGGUUGGAAAGUUUCGGCGGUUGGGGAUGGACUCGCGGCCUAUCAGCUUGUUGGUGGGGUAGUGGCUUACCAAGGCUUUGACGGGUAGCCGGCCUGAGAGGGUGACCGGCCACAUUGGGACUGAGAUACGGCCCAGACUCCUACGGGAGGCAGCAGCGGGGAAUAUUGCACAAUGGGCGGAAGCCUGAUGCAGCAACGCCGCGUGCGGGAUGACGGCCUUCGGGUUGUAAACCGCUUUCGCCUGUGACGAAGCGUGAGUGACGGUAAUGGGUAAAGAAGCACCGGCUAACUACGUG
This 468-nucleotide ribosomal RNA is filed under the name uncultured bacterium. RNAcentral describes it as "partial 16S ribosomal RNA". It matches the Rfam family "Bacterial small subunit ribosomal RNA", at positions 28 to 507 of the family's 1533-position model. The record is from RNAcentral.